This is a long non-coding RNA of Pseudophryne corroboree (corroboree frog), 142 nucleotides long. RefSeq lists it as uncharacterized. Lineage: Eukaryota; Metazoa; Chordata; Amphibia; Anura; Myobatrachidae. The transcript is spliced from 2 exons. The record is from RefSeq and is a predicted model, not a curated record.
UGAGCAGCCAUCUUAAAAGUGAGAUGGUGGCUGGGAGCAGGGCUUUCAUACCCUCCAGCUGCACCUUUUUGGCAGAUAUGGAGCAGAACACACAGUAAAUGCAAAGUUACAUUCACUUAAUAAAGUAGAUCCAGAAGCCUGA